Molecule: small RNA, 691 nt
Filed under: Pongo abelii (Sumatran orangutan)
Lineage: Eukaryota; Metazoa; Chordata; Mammalia; Primates; Hominidae
Description: retained intron
Source: RNAcentral
GAGUUGGUGCCGCUGCCACCCCCGAUUCCGAGCCUUCGGCACCUCUGCCGGGUGGUACCCAGCCUUCCCGGCGCCCCCUCCUCUCCUCCCACCGGCCUGCCCUUCCCCGCGGGACUACCGCCCCCACGUUUCCCUCAGCCCUUUUCUCUCCCGGCCGAGCCGCGGCGGCAGCAGCAGCAGCAGCAGGAGGAGGAGCCCGGAGGCGGCGGUGGCCGGGGAGCCCAUGGCGUACAGUCAAGGAGGCGGCAAAAAAAAAGUCUGCUACUACUACGACGGUGAUAUUGGAAAUUAUUAUUAUGGACAGGGUCAUCCCAUGAAGCCUCAUAGAAUCCGCAUGACCCAUAACUUGCUGUUAAAUUAUGGCUUAUACAGAAAAAUGGAAAUAUAUGUGAGUAUUCUUUUUAAUACAUAUUCAGCACUGAUCUUUUUUCUUUUUUUUAUUUUUUUUUAGCUACUGUGAAACUUUGUCUAUUAUUCCCCUUUUGAGGGCAUUUAGCAGAUGAAAAGAUCUGGAAGAAAACAAACUUCUUUUUUCGUUUUACUCUUAGGAGAUGAAUAAGAAUGAGAGCUAUACCCUCUUUUUCCUUUUCCUUUAACCAUUUAAAAAAGUUCCUCCUACCCUAGGCUUUCAUGUUUCUAGAGAACAACUCAGUAUAGCAACAACUCAAUGUAGCAUAUUAAGUAUUUUUUU